AACAGAACUCUUGUGCUGUAUAAGGGCACAGACUUGAAGAAACAACAUGUUGUCCAGCCAUUUCAGCUUGCAGUUAUAUGAUGAAUCAGGUAAAUGAUCUGAAUAAUGUUCCUUUCAGUGAAAAGCUCCUAAUACAAUGAGAGUUUACUAUUCCUUUUCAGCCUGCUGUGUGUUUUGGCUUCACCGACUGUAAAUCUUAAAUAACCAAACUGAGAUACAGGUAUUGGACAGGUGUUACCAGGUCCCACUGCAAAUGACAUUUACUAAUAUAUAUAUUCAUUAAAAUUGCUCACUUGUUGGUUCCUCACUGGGGAGGGGUCGCUGGUUCUCCUGCAGCUGAGGGGUCGGCUUCUUCUCUAAUUACCCCCUAAGUCCCGGUUACAACCACGGAGUAGAAAAAAAUCAGUGUGAAUUGGUAAAGUGACACAGAUACUCAGUAUUAAUAGUGGGUGCCGCAGUACAGGGGGUUUCAUGUGUCCCUAUUCACUAUGUUAAGUUAAUGAUAGAAUUAGAAUGCACAAUCUUGCUAUAUUAUUACAGUUGGUACUUAGUAUACUUAGUGUCUAUAUUACAUACACUCAUUGUAUAUUAUUGUUGCUUUGUCAUCACUAUGUUGCAUGUAGUUCUAGCUAUAAAUGUGCUGCUUAUAAAUGACAUCAAUACAUGAGGGUACUGAGUGGAGACCUACCUUGUGUCUGGGGGGCAUCCUGCGGGGAGUUGAACAGGGAACCUGGUGUUCUAUGUGGCCACAGGUGCUCAGUAUUAGCCAUUAGAUUGGCUCUAUAACUCCCUGCACUGCACCGACUCACUGCCUGUUAUAAGUCAAGUGUACUUAGUCCCAGGUGCUCUGUUCCUCUAACUGGGGUUCCUUUGGCUCCUGUUCUUGUCCCCUGGGACAUUCCUGGUUUAAACCCCGGCUUGUUCCUUCAGUUGCCUCACAAUUCUGAUCCUGUUAUCUGUUUGUGACCCGGGCCAGUCUAAGUCCAGCCCUUGUGUUUGGGCUCCAUUCCCUGAUUAUUUGUUAGGACUCUCUUGUGGCCCCGGUGGCAGUUGUUGGAUUCUCAGGCAAUUAGUCCUGGCGGUAUCCGAUUAGCCAAGGGCCGGGCACAAAGCCAAAGAGAUUUUAUAGGCAGAAGAGCUCACGAGACAGGAAUCCAGUCACUCCCCGGUGUUUAGGUUACUAUAUGUGACAGUCUAUAUGGUUACUCUGUCUAACGCAUUAUCUUCUAGUCUGCUCACAAUUUUCUCUUCUUAUAUUACCUGUAACUUUAAAAUGUAUGAAUUUAUCUUGCAGCAGUUGAAAGUUAUUUUAUCCAGUUCUGCGCCUCAAACUGUAAGUUUACUCCUUCAUUUCCUUCAUUUAGUGCUGAACCCUAAAAUACUUCAAGAGAGGUGAGUAUAUUCAGUGGUUAUCGAUAUUUAGGUCAAUAUCAUUAUCAGACCAAUUAUGUACUUCCUCGUUAAUUGGAUUCUACUUUUCACUCUGAAAUUGCAACAUGGUCUUUAUUUAAGGAACUUCUGCUGUUCUUUCAUUGCAGUAUAGCGGCUGUGCUUGCAUUUUACCUUGGCCACAAAAAUAAAGUUGUUAUUGCUCCGAGGUAGCGGCUCUGAUUAGUAGGGGCAGUAGCCUGUACGGGGCUUAACCUCUUGUUAUUCCCUCCCUAAAUAUAGAUGUUCUGCUUGGGAAGGUCCCAACGGUGCCCACUGUCAUGUGAAGGAUCAGGAAAAGAAAAUCUCAUUGUUUCCUCAACUCGUAUGGUUCUGGGAGUCUCACUCCAUGCUCAGGCUGCUUCCCGACGGUUGGUCUCUAAGUGGAGACUGAAAUCACUUGGAUUCCUGUGAGAUACCGAGGGGAGAAGGAGCUACUGGAGGGGAAAGUGGCCAAUACUAUAACAUCUGGCACCGCAGUUGCUGGGAAAUAGAAAUCCAACGACUCAGUUCUUCUCCGACAUAAAGUUGUGAUUAACCAGUUCCCUGCUCUCUCUGUAUAUGGAACCUGGCAGGUUUAAAAAUUCUAUAGGAUCUAGGACCUCAUCAGUCAACCAACCACCUGCAUUCCAGACAUAGUGAUCGAAUCAACCCAAUAUCACCUACUAAAGGUGGGAGAGAUUAGAGUUACACACACUUAAUACACAAAUCAAAUACUCAUACUUAUCCCCAUUGAAACAACAAUACUUUGAAUAUGGCAAUAAAUCCGGGAAGAUGUUCACCAAGAGCUUGAAAGCUAAGCAAGCAAAAUCCUUUAUUCACAAAACCCUUGUUACCUCACUAUUCACAGAUACCAGAUAAGAUUUGUAAUGGGACGGGAAGCGGAGGAGCAUACGCAUGUGGAGAAGGCAUUUGAUCAUAUAGAUUGGGAAUUUUUAGCUGCAACUCUACUUAACAUUGCAAUCCCCACCAAUUUUCAAGCAAAAAUAAUGUCAUUAUAUAAUGUUCCAUCUUCCCAGGUUUGGGUGAAAGGUGUUCUCUCAGUACCACUAGACAUAAGCAAUGGAACUAGACAAGGCUGCCCCCUAUCCCCAGUACUUUGUCAUUUGUAUGGAAUUUCUUUUUUAACUGCCAUACAGACACCCAGAUAUUACAGUGGUGGGGGGGCAAGGAAUACAAAGCGGCUGCUUUUGCAGACAAUCUGCUACUCAAAUCCAAUUAUUUGAUUACCCAUUCUCUUACAAAACUGACUCAACAUGUUACCUGUUCUAAUUACAAAAUUAAUAUGGAGAAAUGCAAGUUCUUAACAUUAGGGUUUUACAUUAGGGCAAACUAUAUCCCUAACACACCUAGAGGUUAAAAUAUGGGUCGACCAGCAAAAACUUUUUGAACAAAACUAUCCUCCUCUAUUACUAGAUAUCAAACACUUACUUAACACCCUGCCUAACCUGUCUAACCCUAACACCCUGCCUAUCCAUACUCUCUAACCCAAAGCUGAAAACUGCAACACCCUGCCAGUCAGAGGAAAGUAUAAUAUAACCAAGUUGUGAACUCAUUUCCCUGUAACAUUUAUUCGUAUCUGGAAACAACAGGAGAUUUGUCUGUGCUUGACCCGAGCUUAGAGCUGUCCGUAUAUAACACAAAACAUUUACAGUUCAACAAAUCAUUAAAACAUUAAGGAGACAUUGGGCCAGAUUCGAUUCAGCAAGAAAAGGGUUCAUCAAGUGAAAACUCAUGGACCAGAUUCAAUUUGAGAUGCAAUGCAAUUAAAAAAAAUGUGAACACACUAUUGGGAAUAAACUGGAAGUCUCUCUAAA
This is a long non-coding RNA of Xenopus laevis (African clawed frog), 3245 nucleotides long. RefSeq lists it as uncharacterized. The transcript is spliced from 3 exons. The record is from RefSeq and is a predicted model, not a curated record. Lineage: Eukaryota; Metazoa; Chordata; Amphibia; Anura; Pipidae.